GUUUUAGAGCUUUUCUCUCUAGGUUUUCAUGUAUGAAGACACUCUCAUGGAGCUUGCCAUGGAUUUUUCGGUUUUGGGUUAUAUGAAUGAACAAGUUGUAGAUUUUAUUCCUCUCUUGCUUUAAUCUUAGUUGUCUUGGCUUGGUAGAAGUAUAUGACCAUCCAUUUCUCUCUUUAUUUCCUUGUUGUUGAUGUUGAAGCUUGAGCUUUUAAGCUUGUCUUUGCUUUUCCAUGGUGGUUGUUGGGUUUGAGUGACUUUAGAUUUUCGUUUUCCUAUCCCUUGCUGUUGUUCCUCAUGUUUUUCUUUGCAUUUUAUUUGGUUGGUUGAUGAAAAUAGAAUUCUAUGUGAGUUUUGGGUUGAAUAGAGCUUAACUUGAUGUGUGGGUGUUGUGGGUUUGGCUCUUUCUCUUCAUAUUUCGGUUUUGAUGUUUGAAACUAGUUUGGAACCAGAAUUUGAUGAUGUUAUUGGGGCUGGACAGUGGUUGAGUUGAAUGGUAUAAUGUUAUUUUCGUUUUUGCACAAGAGCUUGAAGAAAUGGAAGAUUGGGUGGAGUUAAAGUAGUAGUAGUGGGGUCUCUUGGGUGUGUGUUUUCUGUGUGAGGAAGAAGAAAGAGCUGGAGGAGUGUCUUGGAGAGUGAGAAAACCGAAAUGGACAAGGAAAGGAAGAGAGAGGAGUGCAUUUAAGUUUUUACUACUUAUGGGCAAACAAAAAAGAUGCUUAUUUUCAUUCUAGGAAGAUUUCCAUUUUGAGCUUUGGCUUUGUUUGAAUUCCAGCCAUGAAUUGCCUUUGCAUGGGAGGUCUUUGGUUGUUUAAUUUCAUUUGGUUUUGCUUACAUGGCACAUUGGUUAGACCAUCCAAGUAUAUUCCAUUUGCACAUUGGUUUUUGA
RNAcentral lists this long non-coding RNA (886 nucleotides) under Vigna radiata. RNAcentral's name for it is "long non-coding RNA (VRAD_LNC015398)". The record is from RNAcentral. Lineage: Eukaryota; Viridiplantae; Streptophyta; Magnoliopsida; Fabales; Fabaceae.